AAGUUAUUUCCCGGGGACAAUUUGUCUUGAAAACAAAUUUAAAGUGUUCGACUCACUUAAUGACUUA
RNAcentral lists this transfer RNA (67 nucleotides) under Terebellum terebellum. RNAcentral's name for it is "tRNA-Ser". Lineage: Eukaryota; Metazoa; Mollusca; Gastropoda; Littorinimorpha; Seraphsidae. The record is from RNAcentral.